UGCAAGUCGAGCGGAAACGAUCCUAGCUUGCUAGGAGGCGUCGAGCGGCGGACGGGUGAGUAAUGCAUAGGAAUCUGCCCGGUAGUGGGGGAUAACUUGAGGAAACUCAAGCUAAUACCGCAUACGCCCUACGGGGGAAAGCAGGGGCUCUUCGGACCUUGCGCUAUCGGAUGAGCUUAUGUCGGAUUAGCUGGUUGGUGAGGUAACGGCUCACCAAGGCGACGAUCCGUAGCUGGUCUGAGAGGAUGAUCAGCCACAUCGGGACUGAGACACGGCCCGAACUCCUACGGGAGGCAGCAGUGGGGAAUAUUGGACAAUGGGGGCAACCCUGAUCCAGCCAUGCCGCGUGUGUGAAGAAGGCCCUCGGGUUGUAAAGCACUUUCAGCGAGGAAGAAUGCUUGUCGGUUAAUACCCGGCAAGGGAGACAUCACUCGCAGAAGAAGCACCGGCUAACUCCGUGCCAGCAGCCGCGGUAAUACGGAGGGUGCGAGCGUUAAUCGGAAUUACUGGGCGUAAAGCGUGCGUAGGCGGCUUGAUAAGCCGGUUGUGAAAGCCCCGGGCUCAACCUGGGAACGGCAUCCGGAACUGUCAGGCUAGAGUGCAGGAGAGGAAGGUAGAAUUCCCGGUGUAGCGGUGAAAUGCGUAGAGAUCGGG
This 654-nucleotide ribosomal RNA is filed under the name Halomonas sp. YIM 93861. RNAcentral's name for it is "bacterial SSU rRNA". It matches the Rfam family "Bacterial small subunit ribosomal RNA", at positions 56 to 701 of the family's 1533-position model. The record is from RNAcentral. Lineage: Bacteria; Pseudomonadati; Pseudomonadota; Gammaproteobacteria; Oceanospirillales; Halomonadaceae.